GGAUGGGCAAGGUGAGAAGUGCUGCGAGGAGGGCAGAGGAACCGGAAGGAGCCCCAGGCCUUGGCUCUGGCUCUGUCAGGAAGCUGGGAGGUGUCACAGCGCGUUCCUCGCAGCUUUGGCUGGUGCUGACAGCAGGGGUUGGAGGUUCACUGGCGAUGCCUGGCAGCCCUUACCUGAACUCUCCAAAGUACUGGGUGACACAUUCACCCUCCGAGGCGCAGGGGAGAUGGAAGCUGCGGUCGCAGCCCGCCUCUGCGCAGGUGAUGGUGGCCCCGAAAUUGCCACAGACGAAGCAGAGCUGGAAAGAGCAGAGCAGCCCGCAUCAGCAGCAGGCUCAGGGCCUACGCAGCGGGCCCCGCACCUCUGGGCAGGGCACAGGGUGAGGGCAGGGCUGGGUGGCACUCUGCAGAGCUGCCUGGUGAACAGGACUCGUCUACAGGAGCAGGACUUUCUCCUGGGGCUGGUUGGAA
Long non-coding RNA from Gallus gallus (chicken), 470 nucleotides. The record is from Ensembl. Lineage: Eukaryota; Metazoa; Chordata; Aves; Galliformes; Phasianidae.